UCGAGGAUCAUUUGCAAUGGGCGCAAGCCUGACAAUGCGACGCUGCGUGGAGGAUGACGGCCUUCGGGUUGUAAACUCCUGUCGUCCGGGAACAAUAUCGGGAGGGUUAAUAACCCUGCCGGUCGAUGGUACCGGAAAAGGAAGUCACGGCUAACUCUGUGCCAGCAGCCGCGGUGAUACAGAGGUGGCUAGCGUUGUUCGGGUUUACUGGGCGUAAAGGAUGCGUAGGUGGCUUUGUAUGUCAGAUGUGAAAUUUCAUUGCUCAACGAUGAAAGUGCAUUUGAAACUACUUGGCUUGAGUAUAGGAGAGGAGCAUGGAAUUCUUGGUGUAGCGGUGAAAUGCGUAGAUAUUAGGAGGAACACCGGUGGCGAAGGCGGCUUUCUGGACUGACACUGACGCUGAGGCACGAAAGCGUGGGGAGGAAACA
RNAcentral lists this ribosomal RNA (428 nucleotides) under uncultured prokaryote. RNAcentral describes it as "bacterial SSU rRNA". It matches the Rfam family "Bacterial small subunit ribosomal RNA", at positions 355 to 774 of the family's 1533-position model. The record is from RNAcentral.